Molecule: ribosomal RNA, 601 nt
Filed under: uncultured bacterium
Lineage: Bacteria
Description: bacterial SSU rRNA
Rfam family: Bacterial small subunit ribosomal RNA (bases 1-540)
Source: RNAcentral
CCUACGGGAGGCAGCAGUGGGGAAUUUUGGACAAUGGGCGAAAGCCUGAUCCAGCCAUUCCGCGUGCAGGAUGAAGGCCCUCGGGUUGUAAACUGCUUUUGUACAGAACGAAAAGGUUUCUACUAAUACUAGGAGCUCAUGACGGUACUGUAAGAAUAAGCACCGGCUAACUACGUGCCAGCAGCCGCGGUAAUACGUAGGGUGCAAGCGUUAAUCGGAAUUACUGGGCGUAAAGCGUGCCGCAGGCGGUUAUAUAAGUCAGAUGUGAAAUCCCCGGGCUCAACCUGGGAACUGCAUUUGAGACUGUAUAGCUAGAGUACGGUAGAGGGGGAUGGAAUUCCGCGUGUAGCAGUGAAAUGCGUAGAUAUGCGGAGGAACACCGAUGGCGAAGGCAAUCCCCUGGACCUGUACUGACGCUCAUGCACGAAAGCGUGGGGAGCAAACAGGAUUAGAUACCCUGGUAGUCCACGCCCUAAACGAUGUCAACUGGUUGUUGGGUCUUAACUGACUCAGUAACGAAGCUAACGCGNGAGUGACGCGNGGAGAGCGCGAGUGAGANANAGAUGAGNGNGAGAGNGCGAGACGACGACGAGGGAGGAGG